Molecule: unclassified non-coding RNA, 253 nt
Filed under: uncultured Flavobacteriales bacterium
Lineage: Bacteria; Pseudomonadati; Bacteroidota; Flavobacteriia; Flavobacteriales
Description: contains 16S-23S intergenic spacer region
Rfam family: Bacterial small subunit ribosomal RNA
Source: RNAcentral
UACGGAGGAUGCAAGCGUUAUCCGGAUUUAUUGGGUUUAAAGGGUCCGCAGGCGGACUAUUAAGUCAGUGGUGAAAGCCUGCAGCUUAACUGCAGAACUGCCAUUGAUACUGAUAGUCUUGAGUGUGGUUGAAGUGGGCGGAAUAUGACAUGUAGCGGUGAAAUGCAUAGAGAUGUCAUAGAACACCAAUUGCGAAGGCAGCUCACUAAACCAUUACUGACGCUGAGGUGCGAAAGCGUGGGUAGCAAACAGG